UACGAAGGUCCCAAGCGUUAUCCGGAUUUAUUGGGUUUAAAGGGUGCGUAGGCGGUUUAUUAAGUCAGUGGUGAAAGCCUGCAGCUUAACUGCAGAAUUGCCAUUGAUACUGAUGAUCUUGAGUAUGAUUGAGGUGGGCGGAAUGUGUCAUGUAGCGGUGAAAUGCUUAGAUAUGACACAGAACACCGAUUGCGAAGGCAGCUCACUAAGCCAUAACUGACGCUGAUGCACGAAAGCGUGGGGAGCAAACAGG
Molecule: ribosomal RNA, 253 nt
Filed under: uncultured bacterium
Lineage: Bacteria
Description: partial 16S ribosomal RNA
Rfam family: Bacterial small subunit ribosomal RNA
Source: RNAcentral